Molecule: ribosomal RNA, 253 nt
Filed under: uncultured bacterium
Lineage: Bacteria
Description: partial 16S ribosomal RNA
Rfam family: Bacterial small subunit ribosomal RNA
Source: RNAcentral
UACGUAGGGGGCAAGCGUUGUCCGGAUUUAUUGGGCGUAAAGAGCGUGUAGGCGGCUUUGCAAGUCCGUUGUGAAAACUCGAGGCUCAACCUCGAGACGCCGGUGGAAACUGCAAAGCUAGAGUCCGGAAGAGGAGAGUGGAAUUCCGAGUGUAGAGGUGAAAUUCGUAGAUAUUCGGAAGAACACCAGUGGCGAAGGCGACUCACUGGACAUGUAUUGACGCUGAGGUGCGAAAGCCAGGGGAGCAAACGGG